This is a non-coding RNA of Brachypodium distachyon (stiff brome), 186 nucleotides long. The record is from RefSeq and is marked provisional. Lineage: Eukaryota; Viridiplantae; Streptophyta; Magnoliopsida; Poales; Poaceae.
CAGAGGCUCGUCGAUUGCAAAUCAUGCGUGCAUCUUUCUAUUAUUGAGCGUACCUAGCCUAAAAUAUUUAAAAAUAAUUGGAGCAACUAAAGUUGUUGUUGUUCAAUUACUUUUAGGUAUUUCAGGUUAGGUGGCUAACCAAUGGUGGAAGUUGCACACCUGAUUUGCGAUUAUCAACUUUAGGAU